Lathyrus oleraceus (garden pea) is the source of this 466-nucleotide long non-coding RNA. RefSeq lists it as uncharacterized. The record is from RefSeq and is a predicted model, not a curated record. Lineage: Eukaryota; Viridiplantae; Streptophyta; Magnoliopsida; Fabales; Fabaceae. The transcript has 3 exons.
CUACAACCCCUGCAAAAUCAUAUUACAAAUCCCAACAACAUAUAAAGAGAGGGGAAGACGGGGAACGAACAAGCAACUCAGAUAUUGAAACGCACAUGAGGUUUUAAGGUGCAUCCGUCGGAGGAGACGGCGAUGGCCACGGAGGGCCGCCGGCAUCGCUGCCACCGGAAGUGGAGGGGAGGACGAACAGACUCGGUUGAGUCUGAGAGAAGAGAGAGUGAGAACACGGUUAUGAAAGAGGUAACAAGCAGUGAGUUGAGUAGAAGCUAUUCUUUGGAGUCUAAUGUCGUCUUUAGCGGGUCAUGCUCUGAUAGAUGUAACAUCGGGAGGGGAUGUUUUAAUUAAUUGAUAUUGGUUGUUGAAUGAUUUACAUGUAUCGUGUUACAUGCUUUACAUUGAUGCUAGAUUUUAUUCCGCUGCGAAUUAUGCAAAAGAACCUUAUUUUGAUUUAAUAAAUGAGCAUGAC